Molecule: ribosomal RNA, 275 nt
Filed under: uncultured bacterium
Lineage: Bacteria
Description: partial 16S ribosomal RNA
Rfam family: Bacterial small subunit ribosomal RNA
Source: RNAcentral
CCUACGGGUGGCUGCAGUGGGGAAUAUUGCGCAAUGGGCGAAAGCCUGACGCAGCGACGCCGCGUGGAGGAUGAGGCCCUUCGGGGUGUAAACUCCUGUUGCCCGGGACGAAUGCCCAGCAUCGGCUGGGUUGACGGUACCGGGUGAGGAAGCACCGGCUAACUCUGUGCCAGCAGCCGCGGUAAUACAGAGGGUGCGAGCGUUGUCCGGAAUCACUGGGCGUAAAGGGCGCGUAGGCGGCGGGUCACGCGUGCCGUGAAAGCCCGGGGCUCAAC